Molecule: ribosomal RNA, 506 nt
Filed under: uncultured bacterium
Lineage: Bacteria
Description: partial 16S ribosomal RNA
Rfam family: Bacterial small subunit ribosomal RNA
Source: RNAcentral
AGUGAACGCUGGCGGUAGGCCUAACACAUGCAAGUCGAACGGCAGCACAGAGGAGCUUGCUCCUUGGGUGGCGAGUGGCGGACGGGUGAGGAAUACAUCGGAAUCUACUCUGUCGUGGGGGAUAACGUAGGGAAACUUACGCUAAUACCGCAUACGACCUACGGGUGAAAGCAGGGGACCUUCGGGCCUUGCGCGAUUGAAUGAGCCGAUGUCGGAUUAGCUAGUUGGCGGGGUAAAGGCCCACCAAGGCGACGAUCCGUAGCUGGUCUGAGAGGAUGAUCAGCCACACUGGAGCUGAGACACGGUCCAGACUCCUACAGGGGGCAGCAGUGGGGAAUAUUGGACAAUGGGGGCAAGCCUGAUCCAGCCAUACCGCGUGGGUGAAGAAGGCCUUCGGGUUGUGAAGCCCUGUUGUUGGGAAAGAAAUCCAGCUGGCUAAUACCCGGUUGGGAUGACGGUACCCAAAGAAUAAGCACCGGCUAACUUCGUGCCAGCCGCCGCCGUAA